RNAcentral lists this unclassified non-coding RNA (241 nucleotides) under fungal sp. RNAcentral's name for it is "partial internal transcribed spacer region". The stretch from base 1 to 46 matches the Rfam family "Eukaryotic small subunit ribosomal RNA", at positions 1786 to 1831 of the family's 1831-position model. The record is from RNAcentral. Lineage: Eukaryota; Fungi. RNAcentral also lists the same sequence under 1 other name.
AAGUCGUAACAAGGUUUCCGUAGGUGAACCUGCGGAAGGAUCAUUACCGAGUUCGGGGUUUCCCCAACUCCCACCCUUGUUUACCAGACGUUGCUUCGGCGAGACGUUGGAAGCAGCCAUCGGCAAUUCAUCAAAGAUGCGCCGAUGCGUGCUCGCCGGACUCCAAAUACUCUUAGACUAUGUACAGUCGGAUGAAACAAGCAAUAUAUAAAAACUUUCAACAACGGAUCUCUUGGUUUUG